RNAcentral lists this ribosomal RNA (503 nucleotides) under uncultured Glomus. RNAcentral describes it as "SSU rRNA". It matches the Rfam family "Eukaryotic small subunit ribosomal RNA", at positions 569 to 1074 of the family's 1831-position model. Lineage: Eukaryota; Fungi; Glomeromycota; Glomeromycetes; Glomerales; Glomeraceae. The record is from RNAcentral.
AGCAGCCGCGGUAAUUCCAGCUCCAAUAGCGUAUAUUAAAGUUGUUGCAGUUAAAAAGCUCGUAGUUGAAUUUCGGGGUCAAUAAGUUGGUCAUGCCAAUGGUAUGCACUGGCUUUAUUGAUUCCUACCUCUUGACGAACUGUGAUGCCAUUAAUUUGGUGUUGCAAGGAAUCAGGACUGUUACCUUGAAAAAAUUAGAGUGUUUAAAGCAAGCUUACGCUUGAAUACAUUAGCAUGGAAUAAUGAAAUAGGACGUUUGAUCCUAUUUUGUUGGUUUCUAGGAUCGACGUAAUGAUUAAUAGGGAUAGUUGGGGGCAUUAGUAUUCAAUUGUCAGAGGUGAAAUUCUUGGAUUUAUUGAAGACUAACUACUGCGAAAGCAUUUGCCAAGGAUGUUUUCAUUAAUCAAGAACGAAAGUUAGGGGAUCGAAGACGAUCAGAUACCGUCGUAGUCUUAACCAUAAACUAUGCCGACUAGGGAUCGGAUGAUGUUAAUUUUUAAUGA